UGUUGAGGCGCUUAUCAAGCUCAAAUACAUUCACACAAUACACUCUAAUAUUCUCACACAAAGGCCCUUUGUAAUUGUAACAUCUAUAGAAACUCCUCAGACUCCCGUCUCCCAGGAAAUAGAAACUUAGUUGAUAAAAUGACGUAAGACAUCAGAUGACCACCAGGUGCAUCCGUAGUAUAGUAAGCGAAUCUUCCCGUUUUUGAUCAGAUGAUGUAUAGACUCGGUCACAUUCACACCUAGUCUGUAAGGGUAAGCGUCUCCUUUUUUAGCGCUAAAAAAGAAUAAAAUAAGUAAAGUCUGAUUACUUGUACUGGCUGAUUUUCUGCUCUGUGUGCGGUACAUUUUUGAUCCAUUUUCAACAAUUGGUAGCAGAGGAUGGUUAUGUGCUGAGACACGAGCAGAGAUUGAACUGGCCGUUCCGGCGCAGCCUGCCGGAAGCAGUGCUCUGGUGUUGGGGCCCCCAUAAAAGGUGAGGAAAAUUUUCCUUAACAAACGCCAUAGCAUUGUUUCUGUUGGACUGUCUAAAUUCCAGAAAUCAGCAGUGGAUGGUGUUGCAUUCUUCUUAAACCUCUGAAUUCCAGCUAUCGAUUGCUGUUAUAUUGUGUGUUGAGUUGUCUGAAGUGGUCAACCAUUGUUCGAUUGUCAGCUGUUGUUCGUACUGCUUUUGAUUUGUUUGUCUAAAGGCUUUCGAGUUAUUCAUAGGAGAAAAGGUUAAAGUUACUUAAACAGUUAAUAGUCAAAGUAAAAGGUCGAUUGGCUCUGUAGUGAGAACUGGUCGUCUCCGACCUUUCCUGGACGCGGGAAGGGGAAAGACUAGGUUUUGUCGGUUCUAUCCUUGGGGAGUGCUGCCCCCUAAAAGAACUCGUUAGCCAAUCUGUGACUUGCUCAAAAAACACAAAAGUGUUGAGAGGGGUCCACCAUAGGAAAAAAGAUAAGAGAAUAAGAUAAAGGUUGAUCGCGAUCUGUUCCUCUGCAGAGAAAUAAGUGAAGAAAAUAAAAAGAGGACAUCAUAGGAGCUGAAAAGCGUGGAUCCAUUUCUGUGUAUCUGUCAGCUGUGUGUGUGUCGGUCAGCUAUGUGUAUGUGAACGUCUGCCGCUGAGCAGACUUUGCGUGUUUAAAUGUACUCUCCUUCGUUUAUUGCAAUAUCUUUUAAAACCAUGGUAAACAUUCGGGAAUUAUAAUCUGUGGGAAGUUUCUUUAUUUCAUCUGUGGUCUUUGAUUUUCUCGCCGCCGCGCGAGCAAAAUCUUUCUGCUGUGUGUGAUUUCCUCGCCGCCGUGCGAGCAAAAAAAAAAAAAAAAAGGAGACAGAGGCUCGCCGCAGUGCGAGGCAGUAAAAAAAGGCAGAAAAGAGGAGAGGUGAUCUCUGGGUUUGAAUAUGGCGCAGGAGGUCGACAUGGAGAAAUAUGAUCCAAAGUGGGGCAUCGGGCCAUGGAUUGCGCUCAGUGAGCAAAUAGAUGGAGUAAUAACUUAUCUGGGGGAACAUGACGAAUUCCAAACGGACGGGGACGGACAAAAAAUACAAAAUAAAUUAAAAGGUCUGGUUGAAAUGGGUGGAGGCGAUUUGCUAAGCAGACAGCCCCUGGGGAAACAUUUGUUGCAGGGAAUCAACAAUUCUAAAAAACAUUUGAUAGACACUAUGCAAAAAGAAGGAGAAGCAGGAGUUUUCACUAACAGAAGCUGUAAAACAAACGAGCAGAAUGCUGAGAGAGAACUCAGGCAGAGGGAAGAACUUUUGGUUUUCUGGCAGGGACUUUCACAUGCAUUUGAACACAAAAAACAAAAAGUUGCCACCAGCUCUGAACACACAAACAUAAAUACAGACAAUUCACUUCCUCCACCAUAUAGUGGAGACGAAACUCGGCCUUCCCAGGGCAUUUAUCCCAUAGUUAACAUUACACAGGGAAUUUUAGCAGUCGAGGGGGAGACAGCUACCCCACAAAACGCUCCCGAAGUCCACACUGGGACUGAAACCCCGAACUGGACUAUAUUAGAUCAGACCCCGUCCACACCAAAUCCCAUGGCUUGGUCUCAGUUAAAUGACACCUUUGUCAGAUCUGCUCAGAGGUUGCAGAACCUGUGUGACAGAGCAGAACAGAUGGAGAGAGGAGAGAUAAAAUCUAAUUCAGCCAAAAACGUUCAAAUUAAAAUGGAUGCAAAUGGAACGUGGGUUUCAGAGGAGAACCUUACAGAUAACACUGACGAACUGAGAGAGGUCUAUCACAUCUUGUGCCCUCUAGAGAGCAUGCGUGGCUUAGGCCUUCACACAGCAGAAGGACAGCACGCCCUAGUUGGGAGCAACACAGGGGCUUAUCCUCUUUUGAAAAACAGUACUGAGGGUCAGAAAUACGUUCCUUUUCCUCUAGAUGACAGAGAGGCCAUAGUAGAUAAACUGCCCAGUAUUACAGCUGGUGGGAGUCUUUGGUUGGCAGAGUUAGACCUGCUGACCUCUGGAAUGACUCUAGCGCUGGGAGAUUUCAGAGCAAUAAUGAGCAGAGCUAUGUCUGGCAUGGUUAUGAGAGACAUAGAACACGCAGCAGGGACCCAAAAUGUAAGUAAUUCUACUCCAGCACAUCAAUUCAUCACACCUUUGGCACGGGAAAUAAAAAGGCAGUUUCCACUGGCCACAAUCACUCCCAUCACCAGGUUUGAAUGGGAUUACAGCAUGGAUCCUAAAGAAUACAUAAAUAAAGCUGCAGAAACCUGGUUCGGAAAAACUACAAUUAAUCCAAAAGGCCCACACUCAAACUUAACUGAAAUGUUUAGAGAGGCAAUCUUGAAAGGUGUUCCUGAACAGGUUGUACAAUCUAUGAGAAAUAAUCCAGAUUUAACAGGGUGCGAGUACGUUAGAUGGGAGAGGCAUCUGCUUCAUCACUUAUUAAAGGCACAAGAUGAGUUCAAGAAAAAGCAGUCUGACACUAAGGAUUUAGAAAUUCAGCUGUGGAAGCUCCAAUUGCAGGAAGCAAAACAAAAAUUGAAUAAAAAAAAAAAGAACAGAUAAAAAGGAACAUGUGAUGGUUGUGGCUGUAGGUGCUGCAACACACACACAAAAUGCAACUUCCUGGCAAAACACUAAUCAGAUUGGGGGAGGACUGGUUCCUCUUCCUGUUUUUUCUGUUUCAUAUCCUCAAAACAGGUACAGAGCGUUUCCUCGUGGACGGGGAAGGCGUUUGGCCGGUCACGGGGGCGGUGCUCCGUGGAGGGGUCGUGGGGCGCGGAUCAGGGGACCACAGCAGGAGGACAUAUGCUACCGAUGUGGACGUGUUGGACACUGGGCAAAACAUUGCUGGGCCAUACCAAAUCACGGGGAACCAGGUAUGAUCCCCCACAAUCCCAAUGUUAUACCUGGACAGUCUUUUCAGGGGAAUAACGAGCCCACACAGAACAUCUAGUGACACGCCCCUGGAGACCCACAGCCCAGCAUGGGAACUGCAGACCCCAUGUUGUCAGCAACACUGGAGGGGAGAGAAACACACUUCCUGGUGGACACAGGUGCUACACACAGCACAUUGAACUUUGUUUCUCCCCUCAGUUUGACGUCACAAACUGUAUCUUUAACUGGGUUCUCAGGGACAGAACAAAGUCUGCCUUUCACUAAGCCUCUGACCUUCACACUGGGCAAUCAGCACCUGCAACAUUCUUUUGUCAGCUCUCCCACAACUCCCGUCAAUUUGCUAGGAAGAGACUUACUGAUAAAACUGGGAGCAACAAUUAUGUGCUCUGUGAAUGGAUUAAUUGUUUCAUUUCCCGAUGGCACGUCCCUCCCUUGUGCAAACUUUCUCACGGAUGGACAAUUUCUCAUGCAGCCAGUUGUUUCUGAGUAUGCAGACAUAUAUUGGGGCCUUUUAACGAACUUACCCUCCAGCCGUCUAAUGUCAACGUUUGUGGACUGGAAACCUUGGCUCCUGUGUCUGCGCUCCUACGUCUCUCCUCCGGGUCCCCCCCACGUGACCCUGUUCUACGACAGAGACGUCUCUGAAUGGUACCAGGAACCUUUCCUUUCCACUUUGGAGGAAACAACCUGGGAGGUAAAAAUCUCAGAUAUUCAUGUAGCUCCAGUUGGUGUAGCUGCUGCUGUCUCUUUCACAGAAACGCAGUCAGAAUGUUAUCAAAUAUCUGAUGAAGCUGUGCCUCACAUCUCUCUCUGUUUGCACCCUGAGCACCAAGCAAAAGAAUUGGGCCCAAUGAUGAAACGCUCCCUGGCAGCCACAGAUUGGAUUGCGACAGCAGUGCCAGAAUGAAGUCCAAUCCUUUCUGGGUGUGCCGGGGUGUGAGACUGUGGGCGCCUUCCACGAUUGUUGGACCGAGUUACAGCCGAAAUCCCACACUGAAGCCUUCCAGGCACUGUCGGGGUUUCCCAGCGACCGCGCCGGUUCUACAUCUGGACACACGCAGAAACUGAUUUGACGUUGAUAGGUCUCGCUAUAGAGAGGCUACAGUGAUUUGAUUUCAUUACAAUGAUUAAAGUUUGAUCAGAAAACAUUUUUACUUCCUUUUAAUCCUAGUUUAAUCAUGCCAGUGUAUUUUGAGUGUACUGCCUUUAAUCCUGAUUUACUUUAUUGAUUUGAUGUUUUACGAAUGUGUUCAUUGUUCUGUGCCUUUCAAUACUCAGAAUUCUAAGCUUUUCUUACCAUUUCAUUAACUUUGCAUCCUUUUCGUAGUUCAUUAACUUUUACAUAUUACAUAGAAAUCUCACCGUUUAGUCUUCUAACAAUGUGUUCAUUUUUGCAUACUACCUAACAUUUCACUGAUUUUACAAAUAAUUUUAAUCUAACAUUUCACUAUUGCAUUUUUAUUAAGUCCACACACUAUCCUAACAUUUUGUUAACUUAGCAUUUAUGUAGAACUUAACAACUUAGUAACUGUGACUUUUCACCUUGUUUUUAAAUACUAACAAUAAAAAAAAAAAAUAUACAAAACCUAACACAAAAUUUUAGACUUUGCUCUUUUGAGUUUUUUACCCUCCUGUGGCAUGGCGUUGACCUGAGGUAACUACAGAAUGAAUAUAAUGAAAAAUCAGACAUAUGAAGUACUAAUGACAACAAAAAUGAUUAAGACAAAACUCACAAGACUACGGAUAACAUUUUAUUGAAAAUAAAUAUAAUAAAUAAAACAACAGAAACAGCUGACAUAGUCAUGCCAUGGGUGGUUGACUAACAUUUCCCUAAACCCCAACACCCUUCAAAAUUUUGUUUCUAUUUGUGCAUUUCUCCAGAUUGUAAGGUGGACAUUGUGAUUUCUUCCACCGCCUGCGAGGCGAGGGGUGCCCUGUCCGUUUUUACCCCCAAAAUAUGUGAUGAAAUGAAAUGACAUGAAAUAAAAACAUUGGUGGAGGAUGCGGGAGGACGAAGCCUCAGGGGGAAGUUUUCCGGAAGGGACAGUGUCUACUCGAGGAUGUACAGCCCCCCUCUUUUAUUCUUUUCGUUAUUUUCCAUUUUUCUUGUUUUAUGUGGUCUCGUUGAGACCAAAAGGGGGAGCUGUUGAGGCGCUUAUCAAGCUCAAAUACAUUCACACAAUACACUCUAAUAUUCUCACACAAAGGCCCUUUGUAAUUGUAACAUCUAUAGAAACUCCUCAGACUCCCGUCUCCCAGGAAAUAGAAACUUAGUUGAUAAAAUGACGUAAGACAUCAGAUGACCACCAGGUGCAUCCGUAGUAUAGUAAGCGAAUCUUCCCGUUUUUGAUCAGAUGAUGUAUAGACUCGGUCACAUUCACACCUAGUCUGUAAGGGUAAGCGUCUCCUUUUUUAGCGCUAAAAAAGAAUAAAAUAAGUAAAGUCUGA
Molecule: RNA transcript, 5782 nt
Organism: Xiphophorus hellerii (green swordtail)
Lineage: Eukaryota; Metazoa; Chordata; Actinopteri; Cyprinodontiformes; Poeciliidae
Exons: 2
Source: RefSeq, a predicted model, not a curated record